UUAUCCGGAUUUAUUGGGUAUAAAGGGUGCGUAGGCGGUUUGAUAAGUAAGAGGUGAAAUACCGGGGCUCAACUCCGGAACUGCCUCUAAUACUGUUGAACUAGAGAGUAGUUGCGGUAGGCGGAAUGUAUGGUGUAGCGGUGAAAUGCUUAGAGAUCAUACAGAACACCGAUUGCGAAGGCAGCUCACCAGACUAUAUCUGACGUUGAGGCACGAAAGCGUGGGGAGCAAACAGGAUUAGAUACCCUGGUAGUCCACGCAGUAAACGAUGAUAACUCGUUGUCGGCGAUACACAGUCGGUGACUAAGCGAAAGCGAUAAGUUAUCCACCUGGGGAGUACGUUCGCAAGAAUGAAACUCAAAGGAAUUGACGGGGGCCCGCACAAGCGGAGGAAUAUGUGGUUUAAUUCGAUGAUACGCGAGGAA
Molecule: ribosomal RNA, 425 nt
Filed under: uncultured bacterium
Lineage: Bacteria
Description: bacterial SSU rRNA
Rfam family: Bacterial small subunit ribosomal RNA
Source: RNAcentral